Molecule: long non-coding RNA, 360 nt
Organism: Rhinopithecus roxellana (golden snub-nosed monkey)
Lineage: Eukaryota; Metazoa; Chordata; Mammalia; Primates; Cercopithecidae
Exons: 3
Source: RefSeq, a predicted model, not a curated record
GAGCCACCGCACCCAGCUGGGAAGAGUGUUUCAAUGCAGUUCAGCGAACACUCAAUGCUGUAAUGAUGGAGGCUGGGCAUGGGGUCAGCCCUGAGGGGGUGCCCAGUUGGUGUGGACAGCCAGACUUGGAGACUAAGAAGGGAGGAGGUUCAAAGUGAGCUCCAGGAAGACUUGGCUUCUGUAGGAGAAUCCACAAGACAGCCACAGGAUGGGAUAUUUUUGCAGUGCCUGAACUGCUGUUUAGAAGGCAUUUGUUAUAAUGUGGAGAAACAUUUAUGUAUUUAAGUCCACCGGAAAAACACACUUCAUAAAACUGCCAGUUGUGCUGGCUCACACCUGUAAUCCCAGCACUUUGGGAGG